This is a long non-coding RNA of Mauremys reevesii (Reeves's turtle), 208 nucleotides long. RefSeq lists it as uncharacterized. NCBI's taxonomy places the organism in Eukaryota, Metazoa, Chordata, Testudines, Geoemydidae. The record is from RefSeq and is a predicted model, not a curated record. The transcript is spliced from 3 exons.
AGUUUAUUACAGAAUUUGCAUUGUCUUUGAUUGGUGUAAUAUCUAAGGUACCAAUCUGGGGACAGGCAAGUUCUCCUGCAAUUGAUACAGUUGACUUAGAAAGAAUCUUAUAGCUUCUUCUUACAAAGGACCAUGGAAUAUUCACCCACACAGUCAAACAGGAAGACAGGCAAAGCUGUGGAGGGAAUCUGGACUGGAACCGAAGUGG